UGCUACUACGUGCUGAACAUUAAACGCCUUGUGCUCAAUACGAAAUUCUCACGUACCGGAUUUUAACGGAGGAAGUGCCUUCUGGCUUUCUUGGGAAUGUUGGAGUAGUAUAUAGAGGGGUUGCAUAUUAGAAUUUUUUCAAAUAGAUAUGGGGAGAAGUUGAUCGAUUUAUCGAUGAAGAGAUGCUACUCCUGGUUUAAGGGUAAAAAUUUGCCGAGGGGGAUAGUCUCAUGGGUUAACAGACUCAGCUGACCACUGCUCGAAGAGAAAAUUUUUUGAAAAAUUACGUGCCUGUUCCAUAAUCUGGCAGUAAAAACAAUAUUCAGUAAAUUUACGAAAAAGUUACGCUUUUUUCAAUGAAAAUUCCAUACUUUUUCUUGAACGUUCUGGACUUUCUCCUGAAAGUUCACUGAAGGGGGUCCAACUGUUGCAUAAUUUUUACCGAAUAUUGUUUUGACUAAAUUUUUUUUUCGUGUGGCAAUUUUUAAUUUUUCACUUGUCACUUCAAGUAUAAUGGUAACAAUGAUAAUCCAACAAUAAUAAUAAGCUAACAAUGUUCAAUAAUAUGUUGGAGACCCGGACUCGAACUCGGUAGAUGUUCCUGUGAACUCCUUCCCCAAAAUUUGAAUUUUUUUGAGUUUAAAAGACACCUUUUUCGAGACAACUUGGAGAUGUCCAGGUGGAAAUCAAUUGUCAUCUUCAGAAGUCGGAUCUGCUACUUUAAUUUGAAUUUUUUUUCUGAGGAAGGUGUGCAGGAGAUUACCAUAAAUUCGUAGAUUUGUCUAUAGACAAAUAGGCUAUGGCCUUCAGGAUUUCUGACUUCACUAGGUUACUGCAAAAAGCCACCACUUUCGUGCAAACACACUUCGCGUUCGACAGCACUUACGUCAAGAGGGUUUAAUUGUUCUUGUCCAGGAAGAGACAAAACUUCAAAGAAUGAUAAACCAAUAAUUUCAAGAUAACUUCCAAGCAUGGCAACCAAAUAAUUACCUGAAAAAUAAUUAUUGACGAGUAAUUUUUUAUCGGGUAAGUGGAAGCCAUGGGAAGUGAAGCAUUGCGAUAGGUUAAUUACAGACGAUCAUUAACCGAAGCGCAGUAUAAAAAUCGGUCGUAUCGGAAAAAUGAAUUACUUCAUGAAGUUGUUCAUGAACUGGUCCCACUAAGAAUUUCAAAUACUGAAGGAGCUUUGAAGUCUAUCAGGAUGAAGACGUAUAUCCAGAUGAUUCUAGUGGCACUGGUGAUCGUCGCGGUCUUCACCCCCUCCGAUGCAGAAAAACGAUGUAAAGAUGGGUGUUCAGUAGAAAAUUGCAAUCAGGAUGAUGUCCAACGUUUUGGACAACCAACCAACAUCCGUUGCUCUUUCAUUGGUGCCGAGUAUUGCAUAUGUGAGUUCGAUUACCGCAACGGGUAAUGAAUCACAAUAUUCUUUAAUUCGCUGAUAUUUAUUUAUCACAUUGUUUUCACUCUGUAAAUAUAUUCAGCGGAUAUUAAAAUUUUUUGUGGACCUCGCAAA
This is a long non-coding RNA of Diachasmimorpha longicaudata, 1513 nucleotides long. RefSeq lists it as uncharacterized. NCBI's taxonomy places the organism in Eukaryota, Metazoa, Arthropoda, Insecta, Hymenoptera, Braconidae. The record is from RefSeq and is a predicted model, not a curated record. The transcript has 2 exons.